UAGGUACAGUUUUGUUUAAAAGGGAAAAUGGUUAAAAUCCAUUACAGCCCCCGCUACUGUAUGCGAAUACAAGUCUCGUUACCACUGGAAAAUUUUCUGGGAAGGUGAGAUAAGGUUAAGUCGUGAGUCAGGAGACCUGCCUAAAAUUAUA
This 151-nucleotide non-coding RNA is filed under the name uncultured Clostridium sp. The record is from RNAcentral. Lineage: Bacteria; Bacillati; Bacillota; Clostridia; Eubacteriales; Clostridiaceae.